RNAcentral lists this ribosomal RNA (762 nucleotides) under Microbacteriaceae bacterium. Its description in RNAcentral is "bacterial SSU rRNA". It matches the Rfam family "Bacterial small subunit ribosomal RNA", at positions 31 to 806 of the family's 1533-position model. Lineage: Bacteria; Bacillati; Actinomycetota; Actinomycetes; Micrococcales; Microbacteriaceae. The record is from RNAcentral.
GAACGCUGGCGGCGUGCUUAACACAUGCAAGUCGAACGGUGAAAGAGAGCUUGCUCUCUGGAUCAGUGGCGAACGGGUGAGUAACACGUGAGCAAUCUGCCCUUGACUCUGGGAUAAGCGUUGGAAACGACGUCUAAUACCGGAUACGAGCUGUGAAGGCAUCUUCAACAGCUGGAAAGAAUUUCGGUCAAGGAUGAGCUCGCGGCCUAUCAGCUAGUUGGUGAGGUAAUGGCUCACCAAGGCGUCGACGGGUAGCCGGCCUGAGAGGGUGACCGGCCACACUGGGACUGAGACACGGCCCAGACUCCUACGGGAGGCAGCAGUGGGGAAUAUUGCACAAUGGGCGAAAGCCUGAUGCAGCAACGCCGCGUGAGGGACGACGGCCUUCGGGUUGUAAACCUCUUUUAGCAGGGAAGAAGCGAAAGUGACGGUACCUGCAGAAAAAGCACCGGCUAACUACGUGCCAGCAGCCGCGGUAAUACGUAGGGUGCAAGCGUUAUCCGGAAUUAUUGGGCGUAAAGAGCUCGUAGGCGGUUUGUCGCGUCUGCUGUGAAAUCUGGGGGCUCAACCCCCAGCCUGCAGUGGGUACGGGCAGACUAGAGUGCGGUAGGGGAGAUUGGAAUUCCUGGUGUAGCGGUGGAAUGCGCAGAUAUCAGGAGGAACACCGAUGGCGAAGGCAGAUCUCUGGGCCGUAACUGACGCUGAGGAGCGAAAGGGUGGGGAGCAAACAGGCUUAGAUACCCUGGUAGUCCACCCCGUAAA